Long non-coding RNA from Lathyrus oleraceus (garden pea), 654 nucleotides. RefSeq lists it as uncharacterized. The record is from RefSeq and is a predicted model, not a curated record. The transcript is spliced from 2 exons. NCBI's taxonomy places the organism in Eukaryota, Viridiplantae, Streptophyta, Magnoliopsida, Fabales, Fabaceae.
CAGAGAGCAAUCGAGAUCCUUGAUUUCACGUUUGCCAAUCGAUGCAGAUGGUAAUCACUUCUUGAAUCGAUCCGCGUCGGGAACGCCGUAACUCGGCAAAUCAAUACCGACUUCAAAGGUUGAAGGUUCACAUUGCAGAAGGAAGAAAGCCCGGGUUAGAUAAUGAAGACGAAUCUCUUGGUGCAGAGCCAAAAGGAAGCUCUUGGUGCAGAAUCCUGAAGAUGAAGCUUCUAAAGAACAAACUUUUGGUAUAGCGUGAAGAAGAAUGUAGAGUCUGGGAGUGAAAAAUGAAGUCCUCCAGGUUGAAGGAGAUGAUGGAUCAAAAUGCAGAAAAACGAAAAAACUCUCUCCAACUUGUAAGUGCAGAAUCCUUUUAUAGAGGUUUAGAAUGGUAUUGAAAUUCGGAUUUAAUUGCAAUCCAAAUUCACUUCAAAUUACCUUGGAAUUAGGAGUUAUUUGGAAAUGUGUUAGCUGUCAAAGCUUUUUUGUUAUUAGUCUGUUAGUUUGUUAGAGUUAGUUAUAGGUUAGUUAUCCAUCUGUUAAAAUGUUAGUUAAUUAGUUAGUUAAGUCAGAAAAUUGGUUUUCAUUCUGUUAGAUUAAUUUGAAAUUGCUCUGGUUAAAAAACCUUUUAUUAAUUGAGUUUCUAAUGUGUUG